Molecule: long non-coding RNA, 901 nt
Organism: Macaca mulatta (Rhesus monkey)
Lineage: Eukaryota; Metazoa; Chordata; Mammalia; Primates; Cercopithecidae
Source: RefSeq, a predicted model, not a curated record
CUCAAAAAAUAAUAAUAAGAGUAAAUAAAAAAGUUAUCUGAGACAAAUAUGUCAAAUUGUCAUUUUAUGAUUAUGGGUGGUGUUAGAAAAAAACUGCCCCCAAAAGUUUCUUGGUACUGCCGACACUCCUCCUCAAACCUCACCAAGCUGCCCACCCCUCCCUGUAAUGCUCUGCAACUCUUCUCCUUCCCACAAGCCGCUUUACAUUUCUAAGCCCUUAUCUAGGUGCCUUGGUGAAGCCCGCAGACUUCACUUUUUGCCGCGUCCUGGGAAGCAUAAACAAACUAACUACACCCUCCUGUAAUAAACGUCACAAGGUGAUAUGUGGCAAAAUUAACCAGCAAACAACCCGGGGAUGUGGCCACACCAAAGAACUCCGUCAAACUCCCCUCCCCAAUAGAAACCCCUCAUUCUGUAAGUUUGGGGCUGCCUCCUUUCUGACUGUUAAGCGGGCAGCCGGCAGGUUAAUAAACUUCCUCGCCUAACCUCGGGUCUCUCUCUUGUACUUUGUGUUGGCUAACCUUACAGGUGGUAUGAGUUGUAUUAUUCCCCGUACCAUUCACUCUCUUUUUUUCUUAUUUAUUUAUUUAUUUUUUUUCGGAAUUCCAAAGAAGAUAGAAACGGGGUUAGGAAGGGAAUUUUGGCCCUCCUGGUUCUUGUCAUCCUUCUCCACUUCAAGAUGAAAUUCCUGAAAUUCCUACAGUUAUCUUGUUAUCAACCUAAGGAUGAAUGUAACACCUACAGGAGGGUGGAACUGAGUAUUCUCCCCUGGAGCCUGAGAUAUCUCUGGACUUCCUAGCAUAUCAUAUAAUAAUUUCUUAUUGUGUUAUAUCAUACUAAGUUGGGGGCUCUGUUACCUGCAUCAGAAAUCUUCCUCAUAGCCAUAGGUUGGUUCAUUUAA